Wasmannia auropunctata (little fire ant) is the source of this 678-nucleotide long non-coding RNA. RefSeq lists it as uncharacterized. NCBI's taxonomy places the organism in Eukaryota, Metazoa, Arthropoda, Insecta, Hymenoptera, Formicidae. The record is from RefSeq and is a predicted model, not a curated record. The transcript is spliced from 3 exons.
GCGUUAGAAUUAUACUUGACGCGUUUGCUUUCCAAUGUAAUAAAGAUGACACAUGAAGCGCCGCUGCCUGUUGACUUGAGUUUCGCCGCGAGUGUAACAUCUCGCUACGCGGUGACACCAAAACAGAUACCAAGAGGAUUCGUCGGACACUUUCCAAGUUUUCAUUCUCCCAACGAGUACCGGGAGAAAGAAGGAUCCCUCGGAGGACAUUAAGAAUUAGACGCGAAGAUUUUCCAUUAAAUGGAACAUUGAUUGAUUGCUGUGGAUAAAGUUCUACGAGGCGGCCGCGUGAUAAAUGGAUAUUUCGGAGUACUCCGUUUGUUACUCGUACGGUUACAUGGUAUCUCUUGGAAGAGGAAACUUUUCUCGUCUUCAACUUACCGGACCGUGAUAUUAUUUCCCCCUAAUAAUGGCCUAUUACUCGGCGAGUUACAAAGAGAAAUGAACUACUGGAAAGAAGAUAGGAAAGCGGAAACUGGUGAAUACGAGUCUCGUCGUGGAGAAGUAGCAGACAAUUUAAACUACAAUUUUUGAGACGAGUUUUAAUUUUUGUCUUACAUUCGCGGUUUGUGACAAAAAUAUUGAUGUCUGUAUUGAUUAAGGAAGCAAGUUAAUUACCAUUUAUGAAAACCAAUUUAUAUCAACAAAUCAUAAAUUGAAAGUAUUUCUGAUUUUAAA